RNAcentral lists this ribosomal RNA (735 nucleotides) under uncultured bacterium. Its description in RNAcentral is "bacterial SSU rRNA". It matches the Rfam family "Bacterial small subunit ribosomal RNA", at positions 1 to 767 of the family's 1533-position model. The record is from RNAcentral.
UUAGAGUUUGAUCCUGGCUCAGAACGAACGUUGGCGGCGUGGAUUAGGCAUGCAAGUCGAGGGAAUCCCAGGGCAACCUGGGGGAACCGGCGUAAGGGGCAGUAAGGCAUGGGUAACCUACCCCGAGGUCCGGGAUAGCCAUCAGAAAUGGUGGGUAAUACUGGAUGAUCUCGUGAGAGCAAAGGUCCGCCGCCUCGGGAGGGGCCCAUGUGGUAUUAGCUAGUUGGUAGGGUAAUGGCCUACCAAGGCGAAGAUGCCUAGCUGGUGUGAGAGCACGACCAGCGCCACUGGCACUGAGACACUGGCCAGACACCUACGGGUGGCUGCAGUCGAGAAUCUUCGGCAAUGGGCGCAAGCCUGACCGAGCGACGCCGCGUGCGCGAUGAAGGCCUUCGGGUUGUAAAGCGCUGUCGAGGGGAGGAAAAGCCCCGCAAGGGCUUGAUCGGCCCCUGGAGGAAGCACGGGCUAAGUUCGUGCCAGCAGCCGCGGUAAGACGAACCGUGCGAACGUUGUUCGGAAUCACUGGGCUUAAGGGUGCGUAGGCGGGUUGUCCAGUCUGGGGUGAAAUCCCACGGCUCAACCGUGGAAUUGCCUCAGAUACUGACGACCUCGAGGGAGGUAGGGGCGAGCGGAACUGUGGGUGGAGCGGUGAAAUGCGUUGAUAUCCACAGGAACUCCGGUGGCGAAAGCGGCUCGCUGGACCUCUUCUGACGCUGAGGCACGAAAGCUAGGGGA